CCUACGGGAGGCAGCAGUGAGGAAUAUUGGUCAAUGGCCGGAAGGCUGAACCAGCCAUGCCGCGUGAAGGUCAGUGCCCUAUGGGCGUUAAACUUCUUUUGUGCGGGAGCAAUAAUGGUCACGUGUGGCCAGACGAGAGUACCGUACGAAUAAGCAUCGGCUAACUCCGUGCCAGCAGCCGCGGUCAUACGGGGGAUGCAAGCGUUAUCCGGAUUUAUUGGGUUUAAAGGGGGCGUAGGCUGUGAGGUAAGGCAGCGGUGAAAUGCCACCGCUCAACGGGGUGAAGUGCCAUUGAUACUGGCUAGCUGGAAUGCGGAUGCCGUGGGAGGAAUGUGUGGGGUAGCGGUGAAAUGCAUAGAUAUAACACAGAACACCGAUUGCGAAGGCAUCUCACGAAUCCGCGAUUGACGCUGAUGCACGAAAGCGUGGGUAUCAAACAGGAUUAGAUACCCGAGUAGUC
Molecule: ribosomal RNA, 460 nt
Filed under: uncultured bacterium
Lineage: Bacteria
Description: partial 16S ribosomal RNA
Rfam family: Bacterial small subunit ribosomal RNA
Source: RNAcentral